CGACGUUAGCGGCGCGCCUAACACAUGCAAGUUGAGCGAGAAAGUUCCUUCGGGAGCGAGUAGAGCGGCGCACGGGUGCGUAACACGUAGGUAAUCUACCUUUAGGAGGGGGAUAACGUCUCGAAAGGGGCGCUAAUACCGCAUAAGACCACGGUGACUUCGGUCACUGAGAGAAAAGCUGGCCUCUACUUGUAAGCUAGCACCUAAGGACGAGCCUGCGGCCCAUCAGCUAGUUGGUGGGGUAAUGGCCUACCAAGGCGACGAUCCGUAGCUGGUCUGAGAGGAUGAUCAGCCACACUGGGACUGAGACACGGCCCAGACUCCUACGGGAGGCAGCAGUGGGGAAUAUUGGACAAUGGGCGAAAGCCUGAUCCAGCAAUGCCGCGUGUGUGAAGAAGGCCUGCGGGUUGUAAAGCACUUUCAGUAGGGAAGAUUAUGACGGUACCUACAGAAGAAGCACCGGCUAACUCCGUG
This 474-nucleotide ribosomal RNA is filed under the name uncultured bacterium. Its description in RNAcentral is "bacterial SSU rRNA". It matches the Rfam family "Bacterial small subunit ribosomal RNA", at positions 33 to 507 of the family's 1533-position model. The record is from RNAcentral.